RNAcentral lists this transfer RNA (73 nucleotides) under Cordylochernes scorpioides. RNAcentral describes it as "tRNA-Thr". Lineage: Eukaryota; Metazoa; Arthropoda; Arachnida; Pseudoscorpiones; Chernetidae. The record is from RNAcentral.
GUCCAAGGAUAGGAAUCGAACCCACAAUGUUCCACUUACCGGGCAGAUAUCAUGUCCACUAGGCUACCCUGGA